RNAcentral lists this ribosomal RNA (507 nucleotides) under uncultured Glomeromycotina. RNAcentral's name for it is "partial small subunit ribosomal RNA". It matches the Rfam family "Eukaryotic small subunit ribosomal RNA", at positions 591 to 1092 of the family's 1831-position model. The record is from RNAcentral. Lineage: Eukaryota; Fungi; Glomeromycota.
CCAAUAGCGUAUAUUAAAGUUGUUGCAGUUAAAAAGCUCGUAGUUGAAUUUCGGGAUUGGCGCAUCGGUCGUGCCUCACGGGGUAUGAACUGGUGCAGUCAAUUUCUCACCUUCUGGAGAACCGCGAUGUCCUUAAUUUGAUGCCGCGGGGAACCAGGACCUUUACUUUGAAAAAAUUAGAGUGUUUAAAGCAUGCAUUUUUGCUUGAAUACAUUAGCAUGGAAUAAUAAAAUAGGACGGCAUGGUUCUAUUUUGUUGGUUUCUAGGACCACCGUAAUGAUUAAUAGGGAUAGUUGGGGGCAUUAGUAUUCAAUUGUCAGAGGUGAAAUUCUUGGAUUUAUUGAAGACUAACUACUGCGAAAGCAUUUGCCAAGGAUGUUUUCAUUAAUCAAGAACGAAAGUUAGGGGAUCGAAGACGAUCAGAUACCGUCGUAGUCUUAACCAUAAACUAUGCCGACUAGGAAUCAGACGAUGUUAAUUUUUUAAUGACUCGUUUGGCACCUUACG